RNAcentral lists this ribosomal RNA (484 nucleotides) under uncultured bacterium. RNAcentral describes it as "partial 16S ribosomal RNA". It matches the Rfam family "Bacterial small subunit ribosomal RNA", at positions 30 to 507 of the family's 1533-position model. The record is from RNAcentral.
AUUGAACGCUGGCGGAAUGCUUUACACAUGCAAGUCGAACGGCAGCACGGGGGCAACCCUGGUGGCGAGUGGCGAACGGGUGAGUAAUACAUCGGAACGUGCCCGGUCGUGGGGGAUAACGUAGCGAAAGUUGCGCUAAUACCGCAUACGAUCUGAGGAUGAAAGCGGGGGACCUUCGGGCCUCGCGCGAUCGGAGCGGCCGAUGUCAGAUUAGGUAGUUGGUGGGGUAAAGGCCUACCAAGCCGACGAUCUGUAGCUGGUCUGAGAGGACGACCAGCCACACUGGGACUGAGACACGGCCCAGACUCCUACGGGAGGCAGCAGUGGGGAAUUUUGGACAAUGGGCGCGAGCCUGAUCCAGCCAUUCCGCGUGCAGGACGAAGGCCUUCGGGUUGUAAACUGCUUUUGUAUGGAACGAAAAGGCUCUGGCUAAUACCUGGGGCUCAUGACGGUACCGUAAGAAUAAGCACCGGCUAACUACGUG